AAAUAAUUAGCAUAAAAUGUAUUUAGUUUCGACCUAAAAGAAGGAUAAAUAUAUCCAUUAUUUA
This 64-nucleotide transfer RNA is filed under the name Micadina phluctainoides. Its description in RNAcentral is "tRNA-Arg". The record is from RNAcentral. Lineage: Eukaryota; Metazoa; Arthropoda; Insecta; Phasmatodea; Lonchodidae.